This 1242-nucleotide ribosomal RNA is filed under the name metagenome. RNAcentral describes it as "bacterial LSU rRNA". It matches the Rfam family "Bacterial large subunit ribosomal RNA", at positions 1564 to 2817 of the family's 2925-position model. The record is from RNAcentral.
UGAAUACGAGACACUACGGCGUUGAAGCAUUGUAUGUCAUACUUCCAAGAAAAGCUCGCAAGGUCAUAAACAAAUAAUGCCUGUACCAUAACCGACACAGGUGGGUAGGUAGAGUAUACUAAGGGGCGCGAGAUAACUCUCUCUAAGGAACUCGGCAAAAUGACUCCGUAACUUCGGGAGAAGGAGUGCCUUAUUUUAUAAGGUUGCAAUAACAAGAUCCAAGCAACUGUUUAUCAAAAACACAGGUCUCCGCUAAGUCGUAAGACGAUGUAUGGGGGCUGACGCCUGCCCAGUGCCAGAAGGUUAAAGAAGUUGGUUAGCAACUGCAAAGCUGAUAACUGAAGCCCUGGUGAACGGCGGCCGUAACAAUAACGGUCCUAAGGUAGCGAAAUUCCUUGUCGGGUAAGUUCCGACCCGCACGAAAGGCGUAAUGAUUUGGAUACUGUCUCAGAGAGGGGCUCGGUGAAAUAGACUUGUCUGUGAAGAUGCGGACUACCUGCACCUGGACAGAAAGACCCUAUGAAGCUUUACUGUAACUUGAAAUUGAAACUGGACUUUACUUGCGCAGGAUAGGUGGGAGGCGUUGAGAGUAUUCUUGCGGGAAUAUUGGAGCCAUCGGUGAGAUACCACUCUUGUAAUGUUAGGUUUCUAACUUGGUAUCAUGAUCUGGUCCAAGAACAGUUUCAGGCGGGCAGUUUGACUGGGGCGGUCGCCUCCUAAACGGUAACGGAGGCGUACAAAGGUUUCCUCUGAACGGGUAGAAAUCGUAUCUAGAGUGUAAAGGCAUAAGGAAGCUUGACUGUGAGACCUACAAGUCGAGCAGGGACGAAAGUCGGUCUUAGUGAUCUGACGGUGCUGAGUGGAAAGGCCGUCACUCAACGGAUAAAAGUUACUCUAGGAUAACAGGCUGAUCUCCCCCAAGAGUUCACAUCGACGGGGAGGUUUGGCACCUCGAUGUCGGCUCAUCGCAUCCUGGGGCGGUAGUACGUCCCAAGGGUUGGGCUGUUCGCCCAUGAAAGCGGUACGCGAGCUGGGUUCAGAACGUCGUGAGACAGUUCGGUCCAUAUCCGGUGUAGGCGUUAGAAUAUUGAGAGGAGCCUUCUUUAGUACGAGAGGACCGAGAAGGACACACCUAUGGUGUACCAGUUAUCGUGCCAACGGUAAAUGCUGGGUAGCUAUGUGUGAGUGGAUAACCGCUGAAAGCAUCUAAGUGGGAAGCCCACCCAAGAUUAGUAUUCUCAC